AGUUUCGAUUAUGGCUCCAGUUGAACGCUGGCGGGAUGCUUUACAUGCAAGUCGAACGGCGGCACGGACUUCGAUGCGGUGGCGAGUGGCGAACGGGUGAGUAAUGUAUCGGAACGUGCCUAGUAGCGGGGGAUAACUACGCCGAAAGCGGCUAUGCCGCAUGCAACCCUUUGGGGAAAGCAGGGGACCGGCGGCUGCACUAUUGAAGCGGCCGAUAUCGGAUUAGCUAGUUGGUGGGGCUGUGGCUCGCCAAGGCGACGAUCCGUAGCUGGUUUGAGAGGACGACCAGCCACACUGGGACUGAGACACGGCCCAGACUCCUACGGGAAGGCAGUGGGGAAUUUUGGACAAUGAGGAAACCCUGAUCUGACCAUCCGCGUGUGCGAUGAAGGCCUUCGGGUUGUAAGCCUUUGGCAGGAAAGAAAUGGCACGGGAUAAUACCCCGUGCAAUGACCGUACCUGCAGAAUAAGCACCGGCUAACUACGUGCCAGCAGCCGCGGUAAUACGUAGUGCAAAGCGUUAAUCAGAUUACUGGGCGUAAAGCGUGCGCAGGCGGUUCGGAAAGAAAGAUGUGAAAUCCCAGAGCUUAACUUUGGAACUGCAUUUUUAACUACCGAGCUAGGUGUGUCGGAGGGAGGUGGAAUUCCGCGUGUAGCAGUGAAAUGCGUAGAUAUGCGGAGGAACACCGAUGGCGAAGGCAGCCUCCUGGGGUUACUGACGCUCAUGCGAAGAAAGCGUGGGGAGCAAACAGGGUUGAAUACCCUAGUCGUCCACUUUAAACGAUAUCAACUAGCUGUUGGGGCCUUCGGGCCUUGGUAGCGCAACUAACGUGGAGAUUGACCCGCCUGGGAGAUACGAUUCAUGAAUUAAAACUCGAAAAGGAAUUGACGGGGACCCGCACAAGCGGUGGAUGAUGUGGAUUAAUUCGAUGCAACGCGAAAAACCUUACCUACCCUUGACAUGUCUGGAAUCCCGAAAGAGAUUUGGGAGUGCUCGCAAGAGAACCGGAACACAGGUGCUGCGGCUAUCGAUGACUCAAUCCGUGAGAUGUUGGGUUGGUUCCCGCAACGAGCGCAGCCCUUGUCAUUGGACGCCCGAAGGGCACUCUAAUGAGACUGCCGGUGACAAACCCGGAGGAAGGUGGGGAUGACGUCAAGUCCUCAUGGCCCGCUAUGGUGGGCUUCACGAUCAUACAAUGGUCGGGACAGAGAGAUUACGCCAACCCGCGAGGGGAGCCAAUCUGACCCGAUCGUAGUCGGAUCGCAGUCUGCAACUCGACUGCGUGAAGUCGGAAUAUCGCUAGUAAUCGCGGAUCAGCAUGUCGCGGUGAAUACGUUCCCGGGUCUUGUACACCGCCCGUCACACCAUGGGAGUGGGUUUUACCAGAAGUAGUUAGCCUAACCGUAAGGAGAGGCUUGAUUACCACGGUAAGUUCAUGACUGGGGUGAAAUUAACACUUAGGAGUAG
RNAcentral lists this ribosomal RNA (1468 nucleotides) under uncultured Bordetella sp. RNAcentral's name for it is "partial 16S-23S ribosomal RNA intergenic spacer". It matches the Rfam family "Bacterial small subunit ribosomal RNA". Lineage: Bacteria; Pseudomonadati; Pseudomonadota; Betaproteobacteria; Burkholderiales; Alcaligenaceae. The record is from RNAcentral.